UUAAGAACUGAGUUUCCAUUGCAUAUAUACACGCCGGAUUAAGAACCGAGUUGUGUUGCCUUUACAUGAUGUUAAUAAUAUAUUCUGUUCACAGGGUUUCCUGAUAAGCACAUUGUACCUGAAUCUUGUGGUAUCCAUGGUAGUGUAAUUAAUGUGAUAUCCACAAAUGAAGUGAUUUCCGUCACUUAAAGUAGGUCGCUGGUGAAAUUACGGUUUCCAAUAGAGCGGAGAGAGCAACUGUUCGGAAUGCCUAGCUGAACGAAUACAUGCAACAGGCUGCGCGACAACCUUGUCAUGAAGGGCCAACUUCUGCGGUCGUUGCGCUGACAGCCACGAAAGAAGCCGUAUCACCGUGGCUUUCGUAUGAAGAUUUGAUAUGGUAAUGUGUGUUGUCUUAUAGCAAAAUUGGUGGCUAGUACACAUUGAUUAUUACCAUUUAUUAAUUUUAUCAUGUUGAUAGAAAAAAAUAAUCAGCGGUUGUUAAAGGUCCUGCCAAGGAACAGCCAUGUAUUCUGCUUAAUAUAUAUUCAAAAAAAAAAAAAAUACAUGACAAUAUUUUGUAAUGUCUUGAUUGUCAUUGUUUAUUACUAAAUUAUUUAACGGCUAUGUAAGCCGGAUCUGUAAUUGAGAGCACCUACUAUGCCAAUUGUAAAUUAAUUUCUCGUAACCUUAUCAUGUUACUUGAACGACAGUUGUGUUGUACUGAUUCUAUCACCUACUGGCUUAGUUCCAAGGAAAAAUUAUCACGUUCUCGUUACAUUAAGGAACUUAGUAUUUCCCAUGUAUGUUACAGAGCUUCUUAACAAGAGCUUGUGCUGUGUUGGAAGGUGGCUAUGAUCACGAUAGGGUGUGUCAUGUUAACCUCUCACGAGUUGUACGCCUUCUUGCGCAUGUGGGGAGCUUCACAGCCUACAGUGACGAAGCCAACUGUGAGUUUGUUCCAUGUAUUUGCUAUUUAAACGACGCCAAUCAUCAUUAUUAUAUUGAGCGGUUGGUUAGUUUGGAAUGCACCGCUCACGUAAGUCUUAACUUAAGGCAUAAAUGGCAUAAUACUUGCCUGAAAAUAAAUGAAAUGUAUUGAUGGGU
This 1086-nucleotide long non-coding RNA is filed under the name Leguminivora glycinivorella. Its description in RNAcentral is "uncharacterized LOC125242084". The record is from RNAcentral. Lineage: Eukaryota; Metazoa; Arthropoda; Insecta; Lepidoptera; Tortricidae.